AUUGAACGCUGGCGGCAGGCCUAACACAUGCAAGUCGAACGAGUGGCGGACGGGUGAGUAACGUCUGGGAAACUGCCCGAUGGAGGGGGAUAACUACUGGAAACGGUAGCUAAUACCGCCUACCAUCAGAUGUGCCCAGAUGGGAUUAGCUAGUUGGUGGGGUAACGGCUCACCAAGGCGACGACCCCUAGCUGGUCUGAGAGGCUGACCAGCCACACUGGGACUUAGACUCGGUCCAGUCUCCUACGGGAGGCAUGAGUGGGAAAUAUUGCACGUUGGGCGCAAGCCUGGUGCAGCAAAACCGCGAGUAUGAAGAAGGCCGGCGGAGUGGAAAAUACUAUCAACGGGGGGGCGAUACCCGCCGAAGAAGCGCCGGCUAACUCCGUGACAGCAGCCGCGGUAAUUC
This 406-nucleotide ribosomal RNA is filed under the name uncultured bacterium. RNAcentral's name for it is "partial 16S ribosomal RNA". It matches the Rfam family "Bacterial small subunit ribosomal RNA", at positions 29 to 526 of the family's 1533-position model. The record is from RNAcentral.